AUAGAGGAAGUAAAAGUCGUAACAAGGUCUCCGUAGGUGAACCUGCGGAGGGAUCAUUACACAAAUAUGAAGGCGGGCUGGAAUCUCUCGGGGUUACAGCCUUGCUGAAUUAUUCACCCUUGUCUUUUGCGUACUUCUUGUUUCCUUGGUGGGUUCGCCCACCACUAGGACAAACAUAAACCUUUUGUAAUUGCAAUCAGCGUCAGUAACAAAUUAAUAAUUACAACUUUCAACAACGGAUCUCUUGGUUCUGGCAUCGAUGAAGAACGCAGCGAAAUGCGAUAAGUAGUGUGAAUUGCAGAAUUCAGUGAAUCAUCGAAUCUUUGAACGCACAUUGCGCCCUUUGGUAUUCCAAAGGGCAUGCCUGUUCGAGCGUCAUUUGUACCCUCAAGCUUUGCUUGGUGUUGGGCGUCUUGUCUCUAGCUUUGCUGGAGACUCGCCUUAAAGUAAUUGGCAGCCGGCCUACUGGUUUUCGGAGCGCAGCACAAGUCGCACUCUCUAUCAGCAAAGGUCUAGCAUCCAUUAAGCCUUUUUUCAACUUUUGACCUCGGAUCAGGUAGGGAUACCCGCUGAACUUAAGCAUAUCAAUAAGCGG
This 595-nucleotide ribosomal RNA is filed under the name Alternaria arborescens. Its description in RNAcentral is "eukaryotic LSU rRNA". The stretch from base 225 to 378 matches the Rfam family "5.8S ribosomal RNA". The record is from RNAcentral. Lineage: Eukaryota; Fungi; Ascomycota; Dothideomycetes; Pleosporales; Pleosporaceae.